RNAcentral lists this ribosomal RNA (429 nucleotides) under Bacillota bacterium. RNAcentral's name for it is "Firmicutes bacterium partial 16S ribosomal RNA". It matches the Rfam family "Bacterial small subunit ribosomal RNA", at positions 355 to 776 of the family's 1533-position model. Lineage: Bacteria; Bacillati; Bacillota. The record is from RNAcentral.
UAGGGAAUCUUCCACAAUGGACGCAAGUCUGAUGGAGCAACGCCGCGUGAGUGAAGAAGGUUUUCGGAUCGUAAAGCUCUGUUGUUGGUGAAGAAGGAUAGAGGCAGUAACUGGUCUUUAUUUGACGGUAAUCAACCAGAAAGUCACGGCUAACUACGUGCCAGCAGCCGCGGUAAUACGUAGGUGGCAAGCGUUGUCCGGAUUUAUUGGGCGUAAAGCGAGCGCAGGCGGAAUGAUAAGUCUGAUGUGAGAGCCCACGGCUCAACCGUGGAACUGCAUCGGAAACUGUCAUUCUUGAGUGCAGAAGAGGAGAGUGGAAUUCCAUGUGUAGCGGUGGAAUGCGUAGAUAUAUGGAAGAACACCAGUGGAGAAGGCGGCUCUCUGGUCUGCAACUGACGCUGAGGCUCGAAAGCAUGGGUAGCGAACAGG